RNAcentral lists this ribosomal RNA (513 nucleotides) under uncultured bacterium. Its description in RNAcentral is "partial 16S ribosomal RNA". It matches the Rfam family "Bacterial small subunit ribosomal RNA", at positions 28 to 523 of the family's 1533-position model. The record is from RNAcentral.
GAUGAACGCUGGCGGCGUGCCUAAUACAUGCAAGUCGAACGCGCAGCGAGAGGUGCUUGCACCUUUCAAGCGAGUGGCGAACGGGUGAGUAACACGUGGAUAACCUGCCUCAAGGCUGGGGAUAACAUUUGGAAACAGAUGCUAAUACCGAAUAAAACUUAGUAUCGCAUGAUAUAAAGUUAAAAGGCGCUACGGCGUCACCUAGAGAUGGAUCCGCGGUGCAUUAGUUAGUUGGUGGGGUAAAGGCUUACCAAGACAAUGAUGCAUAGCCGAGUUGAGAGACUGAGCGGCCACAUUGGGACUGAGACACGGCCCAAACUCCUACGGGAGGCUGCAGUAGGGAAUCUUCCACAAUGGGCGCAAGCCUGAUGGAGCAACGCCGCGUGUGUGAUGAAGGCUUUCGGGUCGUAAAGCACUGUUGUAUGGGAAGAAAUGCAAAAAUAGGGAAUGAUUUUGGUUUGACGGUACCAUACCAGAAAGGGACGGCUAAAUACGUGCCAGCAGCCGCCGUAA